This is a long non-coding RNA of Oncorhynchus kisutch (coho salmon), 2053 nucleotides long. RefSeq lists it as uncharacterized. The transcript is spliced from 2 exons. The record is from RefSeq and is a predicted model, not a curated record. NCBI's taxonomy places the organism in Eukaryota, Metazoa, Chordata, Actinopteri, Salmoniformes, Salmonidae.
CUGCUCUCAGAUCUGUUGUCUCCUUCUAUAGCCUGCUCUCAGAUCUGUUGUCUCCUUCUAUAGCCUGCCCUCAGAUCUGUUGUCUCCUUCUAUAGCCUGCUCUCAGAUCUGUUGUUUCCUUCUAUAGCCUGCUCUCAGAUCUGUUGUCUCCUUCUAUAGCCUGCUCUCAUAUCUGUUGUCUCCUUCUAUAGCCUGCUCUCAGAUCUGUUGUCUCCUUCUAUAGCCUGCUCUCAGAUCUGUUGUCUCCUUCUAUAGCCUGCUCUCAGAUCUGUUGUCUCCUUCUAUAGCCUGCUCUCAGAUCUGUUGUCUCCUUCUAUAACCUGCUCUCAGAUCUGUUGUAACCAAAGGGUCGUUCUACUAAUUCGGUGCCUUUUGAAAACGUUUUGACUUCACCUCAUCUCAACAUUCUGUCAUAAAGAGGACAUGUUGAACUUCAUUAAGUUUCCCCAUCGCAACAUUCUGUCAUAAAGAGGACAUGUUGAACUUCAUUAAGUUUCCCCAUCGCAACAUUCUAUCAUAAAGAGGACAUGUUGAACUUCAUUAAGUUUCCCCAUCUCAACAUUCUGUCAUAAAGAGGACAUGUUGAACUUCAUUAAGUUUCCCCCAUCGCAACAUUCUGUCAUAAAGAGGACAUGUUGAACUUCAUUAAGUUUCCCCAUCUCAACAUUCUGUCAUAAAGAGGACAUGUUGAACUUCAUUAAGUUUCCCCAUCGCAACAUUCUGUCAUAAAGAGGACAUGUUGAACUUCAUUAAGUUUCCCCAUCGCAACAUUCUGUCAUAAAGAGGACAUGUUGAACUUCAUUAAGUUUCCCCAUCGCAACAUUCUGUCAUAAAGAGGACAUGUUGAACUUCAUUAAGUUUCCCCAUCGCAACAGGUUAAAGACGGAAAUUACUAUAGCAAGUGCCAAAUAAUGUAACGGGGUUGACCGUAAUGGGGUUGACCGUAACGGGGUGGGGUUGACCCUAACCGGUGUUGACCCUAACCGGGGUUGACCGUGCCCGGGGUUGACCGUAACGGGGUGGGGUUGACCCUAAUCAGGGUUGACCGUAACCGGGGUUGACCGUAACCGGGGUUGACCGUAACGGGGUGGGGUUGACCCUAAUCGGGUUGACCGUAACGGGGUGGGUUGACCGUAACCGGGGUUGACCGUAACGGGGUGGGGUUGACCGUAACCGGGGUUGACCGUAACCGGGGUUGACCGUAACCGGGGUUGACGAUGUCAUCUUAAAUCAGCCAUGAAUCCCCUUGUGACAGGGGGAAUGGAAGCUCGUUACUGUGCAACAGGCUUCCCAAAACAUUUUAACUGUUAAAACAUUUUUAGACUGUCUGUCUGUUGGUAACAGGGUUGACUUGUUGACGCUCGACCCGCUCAGUUUUACUCCACAAAACACCAGAAAAUGGCCAGAAAGAAUAGAACCAGCUCACCUGUUUUGACAUUAUGAUUUGACCACUAGAUGUUCAAUGUUUCUUUGGGAAUAAAUAUUUAAAAUGGGAAUAUUUUCACUGUGAUUUAAAAUGAGAGUUCAAAUCACUUACCAGGGUUGACCUUAAAACUGAGGGACUGGAUCACUAAUCACAAUAAAAUAACUAGGGCUUUACAAUGAUGGAGAAAUGUUGGGAUGAAGGGGGUUUAAUCUUCUUAGAAGUCGGAGAGGGUGCACGGAGGGACAUUUCAAAAUGCCGAAGUCUAUUUCUAUUAAAUCAGAUUUAUUGAAUUCUCCAUGUGGUCUAUAUUAAAUGGCACUAAAUUUAAUAUGACAGGCUUUUUAAAAUUCAAUAUUGGUGCUCAAUUUAUAUCUAAAAUAUCAAAGGGAACGUAAAAGGCCCUCAUUUUGUGGAAUGACCCAAAAACAGUGGAGACUCUUGGAUACACUCCUCUGGAAGUACCGCAUAAUGUAACUGUCUGAAGCUUGUGCAGUGGGUCGUCUUUUAUGUGUCUCGAUCUGUCCAUCUUUGCGUUAUGGUCAUUGUAUAGCAGGAAAGAUAUGACUGUACAUUUCCAUUUAUGAUGUGUGUAAAUGUUUUCCAUAUUCAAUAAAAUAAUCAAUGUUC